This 915-nucleotide long non-coding RNA is filed under the name Manihot esculenta (cassava). RNAcentral's name for it is "long non-coding RNA (MESC_LNC001783)". Lineage: Eukaryota; Viridiplantae; Streptophyta; Magnoliopsida; Malpighiales; Euphorbiaceae. The record is from RNAcentral.
UUUGGAUAACUUAUUUUAGAAUUAUAACCAAUAAUUUGACUCGAUAAUAAUCAAUUUAUUAAUGUCAUUUGGUCUAUCCAUGGGAUUAAAUUUGUUUCUUCAUUAGAAACUGGAAUAAAGAUCGAUUUCUAUUAUGGAUGCUAGUGUGUUACUUCUUUUCAGAGAUGAUGAAAAGCAGCCUUGAGAGCCAUUACCAAUUCAGAGGAUGAGUUAGCUACAUUCUGCGCAGUGCAGAAUAUUGUCAGAGAGUUGGUUUUUAUUAUUAUGUACUCACUGAUUUUAUUGUACUUCAAGAAUUAAGGGAACAAAUGAUCAAAAGAGCAUCAAAGAACUUGCUCUAUUUGACUACCUAGUGCUGAACUUCGUUUCAACUUCUUGGGCUUCCAAGUUCACCAGGACCAUCCUUUGUAAUAUAAAUCCUUGGUUCCUAUUUAAACUUGGUUUCAGAUAAACAUGACUAGUCGAACUGUUUUAAAUUGUAUUAACAUAAUGUCCAAAGGUGUUGCAUUACUCUGUAGGUCACAAAUUGCAGAUGUACUAAAACCAACGCUAGAUUCAGACUCUGAUCUAUAAUUCUUAAUCAUGAUGAUUUCAGCUCUAAGAUUUUGUGUGUCAACAGUCAACCUCCUUCAAGUUGAUUGUGAUCCACUGCAUUGAUUUCUUUUAUUUUUCUCUUGAUAGCGUUUUCAUUUCAAUGCAGGUUGUCAUUCAAUUGAUAAGACUCUGAUCUAUAAUUCUUAAUCAUGAUGAUUUCAGCUCUAAGAUUUUGUGUGUCAACAGUCAACCUCCUUCAAGUUGAUUGUGAUCCACUGCAUUGAUUUCUUUUAUUUUUCUCUUGAUAGGGUUUUCAUUUCAAUGCAGGUUGUCAUUCAAUUGAUAGGACUGCUAUAUAUUGUUUUAUAAAUACCAAAGGAG